AGAAGUAGUGAAUAUGAUGAAGGUGGCUGCAUGGUGUCUGGAAAGUGAUUUUGCAAAGAGACCUUCCAUGUCAAUGGUAGUUAAGGUUUUGGAGGGCGUUACAGAGUUUGAUCAUAACCUCCAUUAUAACUCCGUUCACCUGCCAUCUACAGCAGCACUAGCAAACGUUGAUCAUAGGGAAGAAAAUGACAAAUCCACUACUCAAUUGUUGCCUUCAAUUUUGUCGGGGCCAAGGUGACAGACGAUUAGCAAGUAUAUAUACCACAUAUCCAUUCAUUAUUAGCAUUAAUAAUGCUUUACCAUCAACUUUUGUUUUUAGAUUUGAAAAAGAAAACUAAUUGGGCUUUACCGACAACUCUCAGCAUCUUUCUUAAAAAAUUGGCGCCAAAUUUUUGUAGGGUUAUUUGUGGAUACAAUCUGGAAUGAAAGAAACUUCAAAUCUUUGAUAAGAAUGUAAAUCUCAUAAUUGAUUUAUUAUGCAAAUUUUAAAUUCGCGGAUCAAAUAACUGCAAGCAACCAUCUAAGGUACGUAUGUGCAAAUUCAGAAAUCCGUGGCAAGUAUCAGUAGUAAUCUCCCUUAUCAUGCGAAGCUUCGCAAGAUCAUAGUUUUGUUGAACUCAAUGAUGUCGCUUACUUCACGUUUAGCUCACCUAGCUCAGACCUUACGAAUACAGAUCCAGAGACAUGCAAACAAGCCUGUUUAAAGAAUUGCUCGUGCAAAGCUGCUCUUUUUCUGUAUGGUUUGAACCCUUCUCGUGGAGAUUGCUACUUACCAUCUGAACUCUUUUCAAUGAUGAAUAAUGAGAAGGAAAAGACUCAUUAUAACUCAACUGUUUACAUUAAGGUUCAAAACUUUUCAAUGCCAGGUGCAAGUCCAGGAGGAAAGGAGACGAGCCACAGAAAAAGAAUAAUGGGGUUCAUCCUUGGAUCUUUCUUUGGUUUAUUAGUUCUAAUUGGUAUCUUGAUCUUUUUCUUUGGGAAGAAAAAGGGGGCUGAUGAAAUUGAGGAAGAUUGUUUAGAUCAAGUGCCAGGACUACCCAAAAGAUUCUCAUUUGAAGAGUUGAAAGUCAUGACAGACAAUUUCAGAAAGAUACUGGGUAAGGGGGGUUUUGGCUCAGUCUUUGAGGGGACACAAACUGAUGGCACAAAAGUUGCAGUGAAACGUCUCGAAGGAAUUGGUGAAAUCAAUAAAUCUUUCUUAGCAGAGGUGAAGACAAUUGGAAGCAUUCACCAUCUGAACUUGUUGAGGUUGAUAGGGUUUUGUGCUGAGAAAUCUCAAAACCUUCUUGUUUAUGAAUACAUGCCGAAUGGAUCUCUAGAUAGGUGGCUUUUCCAGAGAUCAGAUGAGUUUAUGCUUGACUGGCAGCAAAGAAAGAAGAUCAUCCUUGAUAUUGCCAAGGGACUAACCUAUCUCCAUGAAGAUUGCAGGCAGAAGAUACUCCACUUGGAUAUCAAGCCCCAAAAUAUUCUGCUAGAUGACAACUUUAAUGCCAAAGUUGCUGAUUUUGGUUUGUCGAAAUUGAUUGACCGGGACCAGAGCCAAGUUGUGACAACCAUGAAAGGAACUCCAGGCUAUUUGGCUCCUGAAUGGCUUAGCUCAGUAAUUACAGAAAAAGUAGAUAUCUACAGCUUUGGAGUUGUGAUGUUGGAGAUAUUGUGUGGCCGGAAAGUUUUUGACCGCUCUCAGCCUGAGGAGGAAGACAUGUAUUUGCUGAGCAUAUUCAAGAAGAAGGCAGAGGAGGACAAAUUGUCUGAUCUGGUGGAUAAACACAGUAACGAUAUGCAAUCAAAUGGAGAAGAAGUAGUGAAUAUGAUGAAGGUGGCUGCAUGGUGUCUGGAAAGUGAUUUUGCAAAGAGACCUUCCAUGUCAAUGGUAGUUAAGGUUUUGGAGGGCGUUACAGAGUUUGAUCAUAACCUCCAUUAUAACUCCGUUCACCUGCCAUCUACAGCAGCACUAGCAAACGUUGAUCAUAGGGAAGAAAAUGACAAAUCCACUACUCAAUUGUUGCCUUCAAUUUUGUCGGGGCCAAGGUGACAGACGAUUAGCAAGUAUAUAUACCACAUAUCCAUUCAUUAUUAGCAUUAAUAAUGCUUUACCAUCAACUUUUGUUUUUAGAUUUGAAAAAGAAAACUAAUUGGGCUUUACCGACAACUCUCAGCAUCUUUCUUAAAAAAUUGGCGCCAAAUUUUUGUAGGGUUAUUUGUGGAUACAAUCUGGAAUGAAAGAAACUUCAAAUCUUUGAUAAGAAUGUAAAUCUCAUAAUUGAUUUAUUAUGCAAAUUUUAAAUUCGCGGAUCAAAUAACUGCAAGC
This 2311-nucleotide long non-coding RNA is filed under the name Citrus sinensis (sweet orange). RNAcentral describes it as "long non-coding RNA (CSIN_LNC004425)". The record is from RNAcentral. Lineage: Eukaryota; Viridiplantae; Streptophyta; Magnoliopsida; Sapindales; Rutaceae.